GAUGAACGCUGGCGGCGUGCCUAAUACAUGCAAGUCGAGCGAACGGACGAGAAGCUUGCUUUUCUGAUGUUAGCGGCGGACGGGUGAGUAACACGUGGAUAACCUACCUAUAAGACUGGGAUAACUUCGGGAAACCGGAGCUAAUACCGGAUAAUAUUUUGAACCGCAUGGUUCAAAAGUGAAAGACGGUCUUUCUGUCACUUAUAGAUUGAUCCGCGCUUCAUUAUCUAGUUGGUAAGGUAACGGCUUACCAAGGCAACGAUGCAUAGCCGACCUGAGAGGGUGAUCGGCCACACUGGAACUGAGACACGGACCAGACUCCUACGGGAGGCAGCAGUAGGGAAUAUUCCGCAAUGGGCGAAAGCCUGACGGAGCAACGCCGCGUGAAUGAUGAAGGUCUUCGGAUCGUAAAACUCUGUUAUUAGGGAAGAAAAUAUGUGUAAGUAACUGUGCACAUCUUGACGGUACCUAAUCAGAAAGCCACGGCUAACUACGUG
This 497-nucleotide ribosomal RNA is filed under the name uncultured bacterium. Its description in RNAcentral is "partial 16S ribosomal RNA". It matches the Rfam family "Bacterial small subunit ribosomal RNA", at positions 28 to 507 of the family's 1533-position model. The record is from RNAcentral.